AACAAAUAUCCAAGCUUCCUUAUAAUGUUAAUUAAGAAAUCAUCUCAUCUGAAACAACAGACAAGUUAUGAUUUUAGUUUACAGAUGAACAAACAUUUCUAAAGAAUUUGUUUUAACUUAAAGCUUUUUUAAUUACAAGUUUUCUAAUGUAAUAAAUGUGUUUUUAACUUCAAAAUGUACAGUAAUCACAAAUUAAUCUUGAGGUAAAAAACAACAUUUGUAAGUAUUUUCUACAGAAAACUGCUGUGUAUAAAUUAACAGUUCUGUGACACAUUUCUCCACUCUGUCCUCUUCCAUGCUUUGACCUGAUGCCUCGUUUCUCAUGGAUGCAUGAAGCUGCAUCCC
Thalassophryne amazonica is the source of this 345-nucleotide long non-coding RNA. RefSeq lists it as uncharacterized. Lineage: Eukaryota; Metazoa; Chordata; Actinopteri; Batrachoidiformes; Batrachoididae. The transcript has 3 exons. The record is from RefSeq and is a predicted model, not a curated record.